This 113-nucleotide ribosomal RNA is filed under the name Hymenobacter sp. The record is from RNAcentral. Lineage: Bacteria; Pseudomonadati; Bacteroidota; Cytophagia; Cytophagales; Hymenobacteraceae.
ACCAUACGAAGAUGAAAGCACUGCAUCCCGUCCGAUCUGCAAAGUUAAGCAUCUUACGGCCCAGUCAGUACUACGGUGGGGGACCACGUGGGAAUACUGUGGUGUAGCAAUUU